AUGUGGCAGCAUCAGCAUCAGGAAACUGUCAUUAUAAAGCCUAUUCUUGAGACAUUCUUAAUGGGGAAGCAGUGGAGAUGGCGUCAAGCCGGGCAGAGGGUUGCUCAUCAGCACGUGUUCAGAUCUUGGUAUUGAAUGUGUAAUCAUGAGAUUUGGGCUUGCCUGAUAAAUGCCAGAUGAUAGAAAAAUUCGUAGGCCCAUGUGCAGCAUCAGAUUUGGGAAUCAAACACUGCUUGAUGAGAAAAUUAGAUACUAAAUAAGCACAAGACAUAGACAGAUGUUUAUAAAUAUAAAGAGGAAACUAAAAAUAGGAAUGUGAGUGUAUUGCUACCGAUGUCCAGAAGAUGUCACGACUAGAAAGCAUUUCUGUUUAAGCUAGUGAGCUAGACACAUAUCCCAGGUGCUCAGUUCUAGUGUGGCACCCGGACCGUGGGAGGUGGCUAAGUACAAAGACAGCUGCCCCUGAUGGGUAGAGAGAAAGGCCACUUUCUCAGGGAUGUGGGAAAUGGCAGGGGUAGGGCCAGGGACCAGAAGGCUUAUUUGAGGGCUGAGCAUGCUUUUGCUGCAUAUUUCUGACUUUUAAAUUACUGCAGCUUUCAGUAACAGUUUGAAAGCAUUGCCACAUCAUUUGCAGCAUGGGGAAACUACUCUUCCUACCCCCACCACCACAGGAAGAGGGAUUUCAGGUGGAAGCUCUCUUAUCUCAUCUCUCCCUCCAACAAGCAAAGAUAUACCCAGGUGGAGAUGAAGCAAGAGGAACCCAGGCUAAAAGUGAGGCAUAAAUCCAUAAGAGUGGGCAAGGAGCUGCUGCAGCAACCCACCUGUGACCGUGCUACAGUGCGUUCAGCUGGCCACGAGGCAGCUGCCGUAAAGCCAAGCUGUGGCUGCUCACACCGGGCUGAAUUCGGGUAGCUGCGACAGGCAGUUGCAUCCACCUGCAGGGCACCAGCACUUGCAGGGAGGUUCCCAGGAGCAAGGAGACCCCUGGCCCCCAGGAGCUGGAGCCACGCAGAGGAGCUGCCAUUGGGUGCCAGGUGCCUGAGCCACUCCUUUCUGCCCCUCCAGCGCCUGCUCCCUCCCUCCCUCUCGCCAGGGACCAGGGACGGACGCACUCUGCCCAGGCCAGGUCACGGAGGCAGACUCCACGUCGUGCAACACGCAUGCUGCUGCUGCAGGUGCUUCUGGCUGCUGCAGCCCUUUGCUCCUAUGGAGCCGCGCAAAUCCUCCGGCAGCCAAAACCUUCCGUGCGCAGAGUGGCAUACAGCACUGCGCGGAUCGACUGCCACUUCUCGGGGUCAGACUUUCCCAAUGCCUACAUCCACUGGUACCAGCAGAAACCCGGGGAAGCCCCACAGCACCUUCUGUAUGUGCAGAAAGAGGCGGCUGCGUACUACGACCAGUCCUACAGGGAAACUUUUGGGGCCGAGAAGAAGAAGACGGAGCCCAUCUGUACUCUCACAAUAAAAAGAGUCACAAAGGAGCAGGAAGCCACCUAUUACUGUGCUUACUGGGAGAGCACAGCCGUAGAAAACCCUCAGGCAGCCGGCACACAACCCAGGCUGUGCUCCCCACCACAGGCGGGUGAGGGCUGCAAACCUCACCUGGCUGCAGGCUCCUGCUGGCCUGGCUGGGCACACCUGCAGGGACUCCCGAGGGUGGAAGACGUGGCAAAGAAAGGCCCCCUGUCCUGGUUUCAGUUAGCACAGAAUUAAUUUUCUUCCUAGUAGCUGGUGGAAUGCUGUGUUU
This is a non-coding RNA of Anas platyrhynchos (mallard), 1746 nucleotides long. Lineage: Eukaryota; Metazoa; Chordata; Aves; Anseriformes; Anatidae. The record is from the annotation of a RefSeq genome assembly.